Molecule: ribosomal RNA, 596 nt
Filed under: Taphrina bullata
Lineage: Eukaryota; Fungi; Ascomycota; Taphrinomycetes; Taphrinales; Taphrinaceae
Description: eukaryotic LSU rRNA
Rfam family: 5.8S ribosomal RNA (bases 187-340)
Source: RNAcentral
AAGGAUCAUUAAUGAAGUUUGGGUUUCAAACCCUCUCUCUUCUACACACUUGUGAACUUACACCGUUGCUUUGGCAGGUCUCCAGAAGGGUUUCAAGCCCGGAAGGUCAGGUCGCGAGACGCCUGCCAAAGACAUUUAUCCACCUUUUUUAAUUGUCUGAUUUUUGUUUUUAACAAACCAUAAAAAAACUUUCAACAAUGGAUCUCUUGGCUCUGGCAUCGAUGAAGAACGCAGCGAAAUGCGAUAAGUAAUGUGAAUUGCAGAAUUCAGUGAAUCAUCGAAUCUUUGAACGCACAUUGCGCCCUCUGGUAUUCCGGAGGGCAUGCCUGUUUGAGUGUCAUUAAUCUCUCACAGAUCCAAUUGGUUUCAAACUGGUUGGUGUCUGUUGAAGUUGGGACGUGCGAUCUUCUCCGGAAAUCGCUCUCCUCAAAUGUAUUGGUGCGGCCCGCCGCCCGGUUACACAACGUUCUAGGUUCGUCCAACUCGUUGCUUUCCGGUGCAAUCUGGUGCAGCACCUAAAGCCCGCCUCGUGCCUCGUGCUCUUGGCUAUUUCAUUUAUUGACCUCAGAUCAGGUAGGAAUACGCGCUGAACUUAA